RNAcentral lists this ribosomal RNA (107 nucleotides) under Maylandia zebra (zebra mbuna). The record is from RNAcentral. Lineage: Eukaryota; Metazoa; Chordata; Actinopteri; Cichliformes; Cichlidae.
GCUUACGCCCAUACCACCCUGAUCAUCUGAUCUCAGAAGCUAAGCUGGGUCGGGCCUGGUCAGUACUUGGAUGGGAGACCGCCUGGGAAUACCAGGUGCUGCAAGCU